Molecule: long non-coding RNA, 461 nt
Organism: Uranotaenia lowii
Lineage: Eukaryota; Metazoa; Arthropoda; Insecta; Diptera; Culicidae
Exons: 3
Source: RefSeq, a predicted model, not a curated record
AAUGUUCCAAGUUUUUGAAUCAAAACAUUUAAAUUAAAUUCAAGGAAUUUUUGUUUUGACUCUGAAUCAAUGUAAAAAUUCAUUGAUUUAGAUGAAUUUUCUUUUGAAUCAAAGUAUUUUUUCGUCAAACAGUCGACACAUCUUCUUUAGCUACUGUUGGUGAACGGGUCGGCGAGAAGUUUUUCCGACAACCAGUCGACCAUUCAAUUUCUGGGAAAUCUUCCUGCCGCGCAACAGUCAGACAGCACCGGAAUCACAAGAUCCGGCGCAGGAAAGUCUUGACGGCUAGAGGCCAAACGAUAGUGGACUAGGGCAACCAUUCAUUUAAUAAAUCGCUUCCGAUCUGGUCCAAGGAGACAUCUGGCGUCGAAACCCUUCAUAAGUUGUCCGCCAACAAAAAUCGUUCAAUGUGCCGGUUCAAAAGUCUUAUUACAGGGAAAAUCGAUAAUGUGAACAUGAAC